Molecule: transfer RNA, 75 nt
Filed under: Thermoplasmatales archaeon SW_10_69_26
Lineage: Archaea; Methanobacteriati; Thermoplasmatota; Thermoplasmata; Thermoplasmatales
Description: tRNA-Tyr
Rfam family: tRNA
About the family: Transfer RNA (tRNA) molecules are approximately 80 nucleotides in length. Their secondary structure includes four short double-helical elements and three loops (D, anti-codon, and T loops).
Source: RNAcentral
CCCCUCUUAGCUCAGACUGGCCGGAGCGCCUGCCUGUAGAGCAGGAUGUCCCCGGUUCGAAUCCGGGAGAGGGGA